This 208-nucleotide long non-coding RNA is filed under the name Elaeis guineensis (African oil palm). RNAcentral's name for it is "long non-coding RNA (EGUI_LNC075699)". The record is from RNAcentral. Lineage: Eukaryota; Viridiplantae; Streptophyta; Magnoliopsida; Arecales; Arecaceae.
CUACAAACCUGUAUUUUUCUGAUCUAGCAUCCAGCUUAUGUCCAUUAACAUUUUUCACAUAAGCCGGGUAACCCUAAAUCUUAAGAUGCUUAAGAUUGGAUCUUUUCUCUUUUCAUAUUUUAUAUGAAGUGUAGAAACAGAUUUCGAAGGUACUUUAUUUAAAAUAUAUGCUACAGUCUUGAGGGUGUAUCUCCACAAGGAUAUUGGA